Molecule: ribosomal RNA, 927 nt
Filed under: Triticum aestivum (bread wheat)
Lineage: Eukaryota; Viridiplantae; Streptophyta; Magnoliopsida; Poales; Poaceae
Description: partial small subunit ribosomal RNA
Source: RNAcentral
AUGGCGUCUAGCAAGCCGACAAACCCCGAGAUAGACAAUGGCAUGGAGUGCUCCUCCCCGGAAUCGGGGGCCGAGGACGCCGUGGAGUCGUCGUCGCCGGCGCCGGCGCCAUCUUCGCGCUUCAAGGGCGUCGUGCCGCAGCCGAACGGGCGCUGGGGCGCGCAGAUCUACGAGAAGCACUCGCGGGUGUGGCUUGGCACGUUCGCGGACGAGGAAUCCGCCGCGCGCGCCUACGACGUGGCCGCGCUCCGCUUCCGCGGCCGCGACGCCGUCACCAACUACCAGCACCCACUGGCGGCGGAGGGGGCCAGCUCGUCGUCCACGAGCGAGCUUGCCUUCCUCGCCGACCACUCCAAGGCCGAGAUCGUCGACAUGCUCCGCAAGCACACCUACGCCGACGAGCUCCGGCAGGGCCUGCGCCGCGGGCACGGGCGCGCGCAGCCCACGCCGGCGUGGGCGCGAGAGUUCCUCUUCGAGAAGGCCGUGACCCCGAGCGACGUCGGCAAGCUCAACCGCCUGGUGGUUCCGAAGCAGCACGCCGAGAAGCACUUCCCUCCGACGACGGCGGCGGCCACCGGCAGCAACGGCAAGGGCUUGCUGCUCAACUUCGAGGACGGCGAAGGGAAGGUGUGGAGGUUCCGGUACUCGUACUGGAACAGCAGCCAGAGCUACGUGCUCACCAAGGGCUGGAGCCGCUUUGUCCGGGAAAAGGGCCUCUGCGCCGGCGACACCGUGACGUUCUCCCGGUCGGCGUACGUGAUGAAUGACACGGAUGAGCAGCUCUUCAUCGACUACAAACAGAGUAACAAGAAUGACGAGGCGGCCGACGCAGCCACUGCCGAUGAGAAUGAGGCCGGCCAUGUCGCCGUCAAGCUCUUUGGCGUCGACAUUGGCGGAGGUGGGAUGGGGGGGUCAUCAGGUGGAUGA